Long non-coding RNA from Chelonia mydas (Green sea turtle), 932 nucleotides. RefSeq lists it as uncharacterized. The record is from RefSeq and is a predicted model, not a curated record. Lineage: Eukaryota; Metazoa; Chordata; Testudines; Cheloniidae. The transcript has 3 exons.
UGUAUUAUCUUUUUAACAGGCAAAAAUGUUAUUUGUGGGAGGCAUGGCCAGGAGGAUGGAAUGUUGAUACAAAGGUGAUGAACCGUGUCCUAAAACAGUAUAACCUGGGUCACUCAUCACCAAACAUGCUCAUCAAAUAACUGCAUAGAAGCUUCCUCUCACCUUUCAACUGGCUGACUUUUCUCCCCUAGGGACAUUAGUAUUACAUUGAUUAUAGUGUUGUGGCUGUGUACUGGAGCAUACUGAAGCUCCUACCAGAGAAGGAGAGCUUUGGAAGGUUUGCAGAACCGUUUCAGUGGAACGAGAGCUCUUUAUUUUGGAUAAUACCUGCGUAUGAAAUAAAAAUGCGUUUUGCUGUGCGUUACGUUAAAUUGGUUUCUAGCCCUUUUAAUCUGAAGGUAGGGUGACCAGAUAGCAAGUAUGAAAAAUCUGGAUGGAGAGGCAAUAAGGUCUAUAUAAGACACAGCUCCUAAUAUCGGGACGUCUGGUCACCCUCUCUGUGGGUCUUAAAGUACUUUACAGAGCACUCCAUUUCCUGACUUGACCUGGUUCUGCAGCUGUUUUUUGCGUAGUUCUUGUGACAGAUAGGGCAACUUCUUGCAAUAUCUUCGGGAAAUAUUGAGUUUAGAUACCCUUGGAGUCCCUUGUCUUCCAUGCGAAGGUUAAGUAUUAUUGUGGGCCUGGAUGAUCAAAGAACUAUAUUGACCAAUAUGGCAGACAAGAAUCAACUUUUGGGACGAUACGUGUGAAGUGGAUUUCCUGGGAAAUAUCUAGGAGGAUGUGAAUGCAAGUACCCUCACUUCAUGCUCUCUCCCCCCCCCCCCCCCCCCCCGGUUUUGCAAAAAUCCAGCCCUUUGAAGCUACAACCUGAUGAGAGGGCUAUUGUCUGCUGAGUAUCUGUUCUCAGGGUCCCAAUAUCAAAGGCCCAAACU